This 495-nucleotide ribosomal RNA is filed under the name uncultured bacterium. Its description in RNAcentral is "partial 16S ribosomal RNA". It matches the Rfam family "Bacterial small subunit ribosomal RNA", at positions 28 to 507 of the family's 1533-position model. The record is from RNAcentral.
GACGAACGCUGGCGGCGUGCCUAAUACAUGCAAGUAGAACGCUGAAGGAGGAGCUUGCUUCUCUGGAUGAGUUGCGAACGGGUGAGUAACGCGUAGGUAACCUGCCUGGUAGCGGGGGAUAACUAUUGGAAACGAUAGCUAAUACCGCAUAAUAGUAGAUGUUGCAUGACAUUUGCUUAAAAGGUGCAAUUGCAUCACUACCAGAUGGACCUGCGUUGUAUUAGCUAGUUGGUGGGGUAACGGCUCACCAAGGCGACGAUACAUAGCCGACCUGAGAGGGUGAUCGGCCACACUGGGACUGAGACACGGCCCAGACUCCUACGGGAGGCAGCAGUAGGGAAUCUUCGGCAAUGGACGGAAGUCUGACCGAGCAACGCCGCGUGAGUGAAGAAGGUUUUCGGAUCGUAAAGCUCUGUUGUAAGAGAAGAACGAGUGUGAGAGUGGAAAGUUCACACUGUGACGGUAGCCUACCAGAAAGGGACGGCUAACUACGUG